UACGUAGGGGGCAAGCGUUGUCCGGAAUCAUUGGGCGUAAAGAGCGCGUAGGCGGCUUGGUAAGUCCGCUGUGAAAGUCCAGGGCUCAACCCUGGAAAGCCAGUGGAAACUGUCAAGCUAGAGUCCGGAAGAGGCGAGUGGAACUCCUGGUGUAGCGGUGAAAUGCGCAGAUAUCAGGAAGAACACCAAUGGCGAAGGCAGCUCGCUGGGACGGUACUGACGCUGAGACGCGAAAGCGUGGGGAGCAAACAGG
RNAcentral lists this ribosomal RNA (253 nucleotides) under uncultured bacterium. RNAcentral's name for it is "partial 16S ribosomal RNA". It matches the Rfam family "Bacterial small subunit ribosomal RNA", at positions 524 to 776 of the family's 1533-position model. The record is from RNAcentral.